RNAcentral lists this RNase P RNA (386 nucleotides) under Bacteroidota bacterium. RNAcentral describes it as "Bacteroidetes bacterium (soil metagenome) RNase P RNA component class A". It matches the Rfam family "Bacterial RNase P class A". Rfam says of the family: Ribonuclease P (RNase P) is a ubiquitous endoribonuclease, found in archaea, bacteria and eukarya as well as chloroplasts and mitochondria. Its best characterised activity is the generation of mature 5'-ends of tRNAs by cleaving the 5'-leader elements of precursor-tRNAs. The record is from RNAcentral. Lineage: Bacteria; Pseudomonadati; Bacteroidota.
AAUGCAAGUUGUUCUAUCGCCAUGAGGUUAAACUCAUGGAGGAAAGUCCGGGCAACAUAGGGCGAUCCGCCACCUGAAAGGGUGGGUGCAAGAACAGAAAUGUUCUCGUAACAGAAAGUGCCACAGAAAACAAGGUAGCCUUGUAACGCAAGUUACUCGGUGAUAGUGAAAAUGUGAGGUAAGAGCUCACAAACAUGGUUAGUGAUAAUUGUGUUGGGUAAACCUCGGAUGUUGAAAGGCCAAAUAGGUUGCGGUAAUUAAGGCGGCUCGUCUUAUCCUGAUUUAUCAGGAGCCGCAAUGGGUAGGUCGCAAAGAUAAAUGAUAGAAUAUAUCGCAAGGUUACACUUGCGAUGAAACAGAACCCGGCUUACAGGCUUGCAAAAAAU